This 319-nucleotide long non-coding RNA is filed under the name Mytilus galloprovincialis (Mediterranean mussel). Lineage: Eukaryota; Metazoa; Mollusca; Bivalvia; Mytilida; Mytilidae. The record is from RNAcentral.
GGGGGAGGGUUGAGAUCUCACAAACAUGUUUAACCCCGCCGCAUUUUUGCGCCUGUCCCAAGUCAGGAGCCUCUGGCCUUUGUUAGUCUUGUAUUAUUUUAAUUUUAGUUUCUUGUGUAUAAUUUGGAAAUUAGUAUGGCGUUCAUUAUCACUGAACUAGUAUAUAUUUGUUUAGGGGCCAGCUGAAGGACGCCUCCGGGUGCGGGAAUUUCUCGCUACAUUGAAGACCUGUUGGUGACCUUCUGCUGUUGUUUUUUCUAUGGUCGGGUUGUUGUCUCUUUGGCACAUUCCCCAUUUCCAUUCUCAAUUUUAUCAAGUA